RNAcentral lists this ribosomal RNA (253 nucleotides) under uncultured bacterium. RNAcentral's name for it is "partial 16S ribosomal RNA". It matches the Rfam family "Bacterial small subunit ribosomal RNA", at positions 524 to 776 of the family's 1533-position model. The record is from RNAcentral.
UACGAGGGGGGCGAGCGUUGUUCGGAAUUAUUGGGCGUAAAGGGCGCGUAGGCGGUGCGGUAAGUCACCUGUGAAACCUCUGGGCUUAACUCAGAGCCUGCAGGCGAAACUGCCGUGCUGGAGUGUGGGAGAGGUGCGUGGAAUUCCCGGUGUAGCGGUGAAAUGCGUAGAUAUCGGGAAGAACAUCGGUGGCGAAAGCGCUCUACUGGACCACAACUGACACUCAGGGACGAAAGCUAGGGGAGCGAAUGGG